RNAcentral lists this ribosomal RNA (668 nucleotides) under uncultured Alphaproteobacteria bacterium. Its description in RNAcentral is "bacterial SSU rRNA". It matches the Rfam family "Bacterial small subunit ribosomal RNA", at positions 43 to 757 of the family's 1533-position model. Lineage: Bacteria; Pseudomonadati; Pseudomonadota; Alphaproteobacteria. The record is from RNAcentral.
CAGGCCUAACACAUGCAAGUCGAGCGCGCCCUUCGGGGUGAGCGGCGGACGGGUUAGUAACGCGUGGGAACGUGCCCUUUGGUACGGAAUAGCCUCUGGAAACGGAGAGUAAUACCGUAUGAGCCCUUCGGGGGAAAGAUUUAUCGCCAAAGGAUCGGCCCGCGUUAGAUUAGGUAGUUGGUGGGGUAAUGGCCUACCAAGCCUACGAUCUAUAGCUGGUUUUAGAGGAUGAUCAGCAACACUGGGACUGAGACACGGCCCAGACUCCUACGGGAGGCAGCAGUGGGGAAUCUUGGACAAUGGGGGCAACCCUGAUCCAGCCAUGCCGCGUGAGUGAUGAAGGCCUUAGGGUCGUAAAGCUCUUUCGCCUGUGAAGAUAAUGACGGUAGCAGGUAAAGAAACCCCGGCUAACUCCGUGCCAGCAGCCGCGGUAAUACGGAGGGGGUUAGCGUUGUUCGGAAUUACUGGGCGUAAAGCGCGCGUAGGCGGAUUAGUAAGUCAGAGGUGAAAUCCCGGGGCUCAACCCCGGAACUGCCUUUGAUACUGCUAGUCUUGAGUUCGAGAGAGGUGAGUGGAAUUCCGAGUGUAGAGGUGAAAUUCGUAGAUAUUCGGAGGAACACCAGUGGCGAAGGCGGCUCACUGGCUCGAUACUGACGCUGAGGUGCGAA